UCACUUGGGAGCCAGCAAGAGAAAAAUGAGUAGUAUUGAUCUCAUUUCAAUUGAAACGGGCCAGUAGGGCUGUGCCAGCUGUGGAUGGCUUCCUGGGGCCUGACACUCUGAGGCUCUGUGGUCUGCAGCCAGCGUCCAGCCUGAGGCUUCGGCCAAGAGAGAUCCAGAGACGAACAGGAUACAGACUCAAGGUGAAGAUAAUCUGACUUAUGGAAGUGCCCACAGGAGCUGGGAGCAGCCCAAAGAAGGGAGAGAAGAUGUGUUUGUGUGAAUUUCAAUCAGCAGUGAGUCCAGAAGCAGGAAAAGCUGCUUCGCCUGCCGUAAGGUCUGCAUGAAGGUGCCUUUCAAUCUGUGCAGCAGAAAAUUCUUGGGCUAAAUCUGCAGUCCCUGGACCUGCUGGUCCCAAGGUUCAGAACCCCUCUUGCAGGCCUGCUGGCUGGCCCAGAGCAAAUGGGAAGAGUGGUUUGGCUCAUGUUUUGCAUUAGCACAGUUGAUUUUUCCAGUGCAGCCCAACAUUCUGUGAUAAACCUGAGUCGCUAAGAAAGCUUUAUGUAACUCACACCCAGCCGAGCUUCUCAGAGACUCAAACGUUGUUUUCAGAGUUACCCAUAGAACUGGCAGCACAUCAAAACCUCUGUUUCAUAACAGACUAGAAAUAGGAUUUUCUAAUGACAUGCCGAGCACUGGACUUAUCGUGUGGGAUCAGGACUUUUAUGAAUUGUUAAUGGUUAGCUAAACAAAGACCCCCCCAGGAUGCCCAACCUGCUCCUGGAGGGUCAGGAUGGAAAGGGAAGUCUGAAAGCCACUUUCUGCAUCCAUGAUCUGCUCGUUAGUGACCUAAGGCCCUUUUCAAACAAUUUCCUAAAUAAUCUCUAACAUA
Heterocephalus glaber (naked mole-rat) is the source of this 880-nucleotide long non-coding RNA. RefSeq lists it as uncharacterized. The record is from RefSeq and is a predicted model, not a curated record. Lineage: Eukaryota; Metazoa; Chordata; Mammalia; Rodentia; Bathyergidae.